This is a long non-coding RNA of Chiroxiphia lanceolata (lance-tailed manakin), 1510 nucleotides long. RefSeq lists it as uncharacterized. Lineage: Eukaryota; Metazoa; Chordata; Aves; Passeriformes; Pipridae. The transcript is spliced from 4 exons. The record is from RefSeq and is a predicted model, not a curated record.
UUAUCCUUGCUCGCGAGGAAAGUUGUAGUUCCCUCGCCACAAAAUGGCGAACGGCGGAGAACUACACCUCCCGGCGUGCCCCGCGCGCCCGCCCGCCGAUUGGCUGCGGGGCGAGGAACCCCCUUCGCCACGCUCGUCCUUCUCCCCUCCCCCGCCUCUCUGCGUUGGUUUCCCCCUCCCUCUUGUCUCCCCCCCACCCCCCCCUGCGGCGCUCGGUGGUAGAGGCUGGGGGGGGUCCGGGGGGCUUGCACGGCAGGAGGAGGAGGAGGAGAGCGAAGGGGAAGUUUAUUGGGAAUCGCUGACAGGGAGUGGGGAGGCAGGCAGGCGCCGCGGGAGGCUGCCGGGAGAGCACGGGGAUUAAUGUGUCUGGGUUGGGCUGGGAAGUGGCGGCACGAAAACUUUGUGUCUGUGGGCUGCGCCCGCCGAGGAGGCGGCGGUCUGGGUCGGCCGGACAGGCGGACAGACAGACCGCCGGCUGGACAGAGAGACCGCCUGCCGGGCGGGCGGGCGGUGUCAGCUCGGGACAGGCUGCCGGGCUGGGCUCUGCGAGGCUCGCCCGGUGUGUCUCCAAGGUGUCCUGAGGUCGCGCCUCCUCUGCUGCCGGCGCCGCCGCGCUGGGGCUGCCCCGCGGGACCUGGCCCGGUGGUCCGGCGCUCCCGAGAAUAACCUUUCUGUGUGGAUGGAUGUGUGCUUUCAAAUCCCGCCGGAAGCUCGGCGGUUUCCCAGGAGCAGCGGCCCGUCCGCGCCGAGAGCUGGUGCCGAGGCCGGGCAGCGCCGCCCUGCCCGAUCCCCGGCGGGAUCUGCCACGGGACCCGCCGGGCGACACCUGGAAACCCGGUGUCAGUGAGAAAUCCUGACAUUCGAUUAAAUUAUUUUUUUUCCCCUUAAGUUAAAACAAAAAAUAGUGGGAAACUGGGUGCGAAGUGGAAGGUGCAUCUUCAGUGAAAACCCAACAGUUCUUUAAUGGCGGAUUAAGCUGUUGGAGGAAAUCCAGAGGAGGGUCACGAAGUUGAUAAGAGAACUGGAGCACCUCUCCUUCAAAGACAGGCUGAUAAAGUUGCGGCUGUUCAGCCUGGGGAAGAGGAGGUUGCAUGGAGACCUCAUAGCAACCUUUCAGUAUCUGCAGAGGACCUACAUGGAAGCUGGAGAGGACCUCGUCGUCAGGAAAUGCAGUGAUAGAACAGGGAAAAAUGGGGACACGGAAGAAAGAGAGUCAUUGAUGAUCUCCCUGGUGAGGUAUCACCAUACCCAGUAGCCAUUUGUACUUUUCUGUACAACUCUGGCAUAAACUCUGAGCAAGUUUCAUCCUGGUCACUUCCAGCUAUAACUGUGCCUUGAAGAUGUUUGAGAGAUAAAACAAUAGGCACAAGCAGUACAGGGAAGGCAGAAAGAACAUGGGGUGAAUUCAAGAGCCAUAAUUCAACAGUCAGCAAACAAAGGGCAUGAUGCCAGACAAGUUCAGCCAUAAAGGAGCCUUGUCUUGGGGGCAGGCUGUGAUUGUUUGUGGACA